GAACUACGACUUACUUAAUCAAUACUCUGAUCAAGUCAUUGAUCAGCAGCGUCAUCAAAGUGAUCAAGUUGCUGUUGGACAGUUGGAGCCACUUUGCAUCAGCAGCAUCACGCUCCAGUGCUCUGAGACACUUUAUAGUCCUGACAGCUGAACACUGGAUGACUGACAGCUGUCAAUCAACACCAACAUGACUCUGAUCUCCGUCCUCAUCUGGACUCUGCUCUGCUGCUGCUUCACAGAGUCCAGAAUCCAGGUCACAGUGACUCAACCUGAAGCAGUCACAUCUGCUCCAGGAGGCUCCACCACCAUCACAUGUACAACCAGUCACAAUGUUUACCAUGAUUCAUCAGGUUUUGGAUUAUCCUGGUACCAACAGAGAGACGGAGAAACUCCUAAACUGCUCAUUUAUCUUGCGAGCAGCCGAGCAUCAGGGACCCCAAACCGUUUUUCAGGCAGUGGAUCAAACUCUGACUUCAGUCUGACCAUCAGUGGAGUCCAGGCUGAAGAUGCUGCAGUUUAUUACAGUCUGGGUGUUUUUGAUAGCAGCAAGUACGAGCUGCUCACACAGUGAAAAAGCAUCGUACAAAAACCUCCCUCAGUCAGACUGAACAGGAACUGAAGUUUCUGCUGCAGCUGGAAGCUUCUGCACAAACUCAAAGA
Molecule: non-coding RNA, 660 nt
Organism: Thalassophryne amazonica
Lineage: Eukaryota; Metazoa; Chordata; Actinopteri; Batrachoidiformes; Batrachoididae
Source: the annotation of a RefSeq genome assembly